GGGGAGUAAGGGUGUUUGGAGGAGAGAGAGGGGGAGUAAGGGUGUUUGGAGGAGAGAGAGGGGGAGUAAGGGUGUUGGGAGGAGAGAGAGGGGGAGUAAGGGUGUUUGGAGGAGAGAGAGGGGGGAUAAGGGUGUUUGGAGGGGGAGUAAGGGUGUUUUGUCCAGUGGCAUUGCGAAGCGUGUCCAUUGAAAGUGAGUGAAGUCGUCGUGAGUAAAAGUGGUUAGUUGUCUCUUAGCAUUGGAAUGUUACUGCGGGCAGUCACACCGACAGAUACGACAGUUUAAAACCAGGGACCCCUACACAAGCUCACAUGGUACCCUCUUUAUCAGAGCACUACCUUGUGUCACAAAAUGUAUCACAAUAUUUCUUGGCCUUUUCACACGUAACCUAUUUAACAGAGGUUCAUAACCAGUCCAAGAGGACUCUUGUAGGUUUUUCACCCAAUCUAUCAAUUGAAUAAUGUAGUGCAUAUCAGAUCAAUGAAAUAUAAUUGUGUGAAGGUUGGAAGGAAAACCUGGAUACAAAGGGAUCCGCCAGGAUCGGCUUUGAUAACUACUGCAGUCCUCCUACUUGAGUGUUCUGAACUCUAUGGUUCUGAAUGGGAUCAUGUCAGUUCCUGUGUGUCCUCCCGAACCUCCUCCCUCAGAAACCAAAAAGGUCAUGCCUAAUGGACGUGUUGCUUUGCUACCUCAGUUCUAGUGCACAGUCAUAGGCUGAAGACCUCAGUUCUAGUGCACAGUCAUAGGCUGAAGACCUCAGUUCUAGUGCACAGUCAUAGGCUGAAGACCUCAGUUCUAGUGCACAGUCAUAGGCUGAAGACCUCAGUUCUAGUGUAUGACCUUGUCUCUGGAGUCAUAAAUCUCUCCAAUCUCCUCAUUGAUUGCACUUUCGAUGUCGGCUAUUGACGAGCGCAGACCGUAUCAAAACAUCUCCACUCGUCCCUAAGGGGGCCUAUUCAGUCUGUAGAUAGAAAUAUAUUGCUGUACCAGAGACAAUGUUUUUAAUAUCAUGUGGCGUAAAGCAUUGAAUCAGCUCUAUACAAUAUGUUUCUAUCGCUUUCCAUCUUGUUGAAUAAGCCCAAGAAGACCUUCUUUAUCAUGCGUGCGUGUACACACACACGCACACACACACACACACACACACACACACACACACACACACACACACACACACACACACACACACACACACACACACACACACACACACACACACACACACACACACACACACACACACCACCCCCCCACCCACACACACACACACACACACACACACACACACACACACACACACACACACACACACACACACACACACACACACACACACACACACACACACACACCUCCAC
Oncorhynchus tshawytscha (Chinook salmon) is the source of this 1355-nucleotide long non-coding RNA. NCBI's taxonomy places the organism in Eukaryota, Metazoa, Chordata, Actinopteri, Salmoniformes, Salmonidae. The record is from Ensembl.